This 789-nucleotide ribosomal RNA is filed under the name Ruegeria sp. RNAcentral describes it as "bacterial SSU rRNA". It matches the Rfam family "Bacterial small subunit ribosomal RNA", at positions 37 to 873 of the family's 1533-position model. The record is from RNAcentral. Lineage: Bacteria; Pseudomonadati; Pseudomonadota; Alphaproteobacteria; Rhodobacterales; Roseobacteraceae.
UGGCGGCAGGCCUAACACAUGCAAGUCGAGCGCGCCCUUCGGGGUGAGCGGCGGACGGGUUAGUAACGCGUGGGAAUAUACCCUUUUCUGCGGAAUAGCCUCUGGAAACGGAGAGUAAUACCGCAUACGCCCUUCGGGGGAAAGAUUUAUCGGGGAAGGAUUAGCCCGCGUUAGAUUAGGUAGUUGGUGGGGUAAUGGCCUACCAAGCCUACGAUCUAUAGCUGGUUUUAGAGGAUGAUCAGCAACACUGGGACUGAGACACGGCCCAGACUCCUACGGGAGGCAGCAGUGGGGAAUCUUGGACAAUGGGCGCAAGCCUGAUCCAGCCAUGCCGCGUGAGUGAUGAAGGCCUUAGGGUCGUAAAGCUCUUUCGCCUGUGAAGAUAAUGACGGUAGCAGGUAAAGAAACCCCGGCUAACUCCGUGCCAGCAGCCGCGGUAAUACGGAGGGGGUUAGCGUUGUUCGGAAUUACUGGGCGUAAAGCGCACGUAGGCGGACUGGAAAGUUGGGGGUGAAAUCCCAGGGCUCAACCCUGGAACUGCCUCCAAAACUAUCAGUCUAGAGUUCGAGAGAGGUGAGUGGAAUUCCGAGUGUAGAGGUGAAAUUCGUAGAUAUUCGGAGGAACACCAGUGGCGAAGGCGGCUCACUGGCUCGAUACUGACGCUGAGGUGCGAAAGUGUGGGGAGCAAACAGGAUUAGAUACCCUGGUAGUCCACACCGUAAACGAUGAAUGCCAGUCGUCGGGUAGCAUGCUAUUCGGUGACACACCUAACGGAUUAAGCAUUCCGCC